This 225-nucleotide ribosomal RNA is filed under the name uncultured bacterium. RNAcentral's name for it is "partial 16S ribosomal RNA". It matches the Rfam family "Bacterial small subunit ribosomal RNA", at positions 524 to 742 of the family's 1533-position model. The record is from RNAcentral.
GACAGAGGUGCCAAGCGUUAGGCGGAAUCACUGGGCUUAAAGCGUGUGUAGGCGGAAUGGUAAGUAACCUUGUGAAAUCCCCACGGCUCAACCGGUGGAACUGCUCGGUAUACUGCUUUUUCUUGAGCCACUUAGGGGCUGUCGGAACAAACGGUGGAGCGGUGAAAUGCGUAGAUAUCGUUUUUGGAACGCCAAUGGUGAAAACAGACAGCUGGGAGUGUGCUG